Molecule: ribosomal RNA, 253 nt
Filed under: uncultured bacterium
Lineage: Bacteria
Description: partial 16S ribosomal RNA
Rfam family: Bacterial small subunit ribosomal RNA
Source: RNAcentral
GACAGAGGUGCCAAGCGUUAGGCGGAAUCACUGGGCUUAAAGCGUGUGUAGGCGGGUCGUUAAGUACCUUGUGAAAUCCCCCGGCUCAACCGAGGAACGGCUGGGUAUACUGGCGAUCUUGAGCCACCUAGGGGCAGUCGGAACAAGUGGUGGAGCGGUGAAAUGCGUAGAUAUCACUUGGAACGCCAAUGGUGAAAACAGACUGCUGGGGGUGUGCUGACGCUGAGACACGAAAGCCAGGGGAGCAAACGGG